Molecule: long non-coding RNA, 2349 nt
Filed under: Sorghum bicolor (sorghum)
Lineage: Eukaryota; Viridiplantae; Streptophyta; Magnoliopsida; Poales; Poaceae
Description: long non-coding RNA (SBIC_LNC006297)
Source: RNAcentral
UGCACCUCGGGUAUAUAUGAUGGAUCUAGUCUUGAUAAGUUAUACAUCUAUAAGGACCUCUCCAUCAUGACCUGUUGAAAAAUUAGUAAAUUAAUUGAAAUAUUAUCUAGGAAUAUUUGUUAUUAAAAAUAAAAGAACACCUAACAAUUAAAUCAAAUUAAAAAAGUAAAACAAGUAUCAAAAAUAAAGACAAAACCCUAAGUAAUAAUUCAAAAAAGAACACCUAACAACAAAAUCAAAUUGACAAGGUACAAAAACACUGUUGAUGGAAACUAAAUAUAUAUCUUUAUAUCACUAAAAUAAAUUUGAGAAGGAAACAUGGAAAUGGUGAGAGGAGAGGCAACAUCUUAAGCAACCUCAUACAUGAAAAACGCUUAUUGCAUAAUUAAAUCUAAUUUACAUAAAAAUAACAUCCUAAACAAUAUAAUUUAAAAAACUAAAAAGAAAACUUAUCUUUCUCUCUCUUCCCAAGCAUGGAAACACCAUUCAUGGGAACUACUACAUAUAUAUUUCUUGGAUUCACUAAUUAGAGAAGGAAACAUAAAAAAAAUUUACAGGAAGAUAAAGCACAGACGGUUCACAUAACUGAACCGUCUGUGUAAAUGAACCAUUUACAUAGGCGGUUUUCUUACGAUAAUCGCGUGUACUAAGCCUUUUAUACAGGCAGUUUUCAAUUCUGGUCGUACAAAUUUACAACACAGGCGCAUUAUAAUUAAAACCGUCUGUGCAAAUGUUUUACCCCCGCCGGUUUAGAGCAUCUGUGUACUAGUGAAACCUUGUCCAAAACGACUUUCUUUAUGGGUAUGGAGAAAGUAUACAUGAAAUAUUAAAUACAAAUUAUUUAUAAAACUAACGACACAAAUUGAGACUAAUUUUUUAGAUGAUUUUUAAGCCUACUUAGUCUAUAAUUAAUGAGAAAUUAAUCCCUAAUUACUAUAGUACAAAAUAUGCUAAUAACAGAUUAAUUAGAUUUAAUAAAUUCAUCUUGCGGUUUACUGACAAAAUUUGUAAUUUAUUUUUUUAUUGGUAUGAAAAACCCUAUGAGCCACCUAACAUAACAUGCGAUGUAACACCUAUUAAACAAGUGUCCUUCUAUCCAAACAACAAGUAUGGUACAUAUUGAUGUUGUUUUUACUUGAUAUCCCAAGAAAUAUUUCUUACCGACAUUAUCGGCACGUGACUUCCGUAUUCGACACAUGUAUUCACUACGGGACAUCCAUGCUUUGUCGAGUGGCCUAAAAACACUCAACAUAGCCUUUACCGAGUGCCACACUCGGUAAAGACCACAUGGCAAAAUUUCAGCCGGCAAAGCGGUCUUUGCCGAGUGCUAUUUUUCGGACACUCGGCAAAGGCUUUGCCGAGUGUCGACACUCGGCAAAGAUAAAAACGAAAAAAUCCAAAAAAAAAUCCAAAAAAAAUCCGAAAUAAAAGAGAAAAACUUUCCUUCAAACCAAACAACAAGUAUGUACAUAUUGAUGUUGUUUUUACUUGAUAUCCCAAGAAAUAUUUCUUACCGAUAUUAUCGGCACGUGACUUCCGUAUUCGACACAUGUAUUCACUACGGGACAUCCAUGCUUUGUCGAGUGUCUAUGGCACUCGGCAAAGCCUUUGCCGAGUGCCACACUCGGUAAAGACCACACGGCAAAAUUUCAGCCGGCAAAGCGGUCUUUGCCGAGUGCUAUUUUUCGGGCACUCGGCAAAGGCUUUGUCGAGUGUCGACACUCGGCAAAGAUAAAAACGAAAAAAUCCAAAAAAAAUCCAAAAAAAUCCGAAACAAAAGAGAAAAAAAUCUUUUUUUAGAGGCCAACGCCCACCAGCCUCUUCUUGUCUUAGCCCCAACAUCGGUUUUUUUUGCGUCUUUGCGGUCUAUGGGAUUCGAACUCGUGACCUAUCGCUCGCGUGUCCCCACUCUUAACCACUGCACCACACUAUGACUUGUGCUUAUAUUGCAUUUCCUCAAAUAUUAUACCAAAUUAUAUGUAAAAUGAUUAUUUAAGGUCCUAAAUGAUUUCAAAUCAAAAAGUUGUCAACUACAAAGUUUCAUAACUUUUUAGGAUAUACAAUUUUUAUUUAGGGAGUUUCUCCAUCCGAGGUCGUUUACAAAUUUUAAAUUUUAAAUUUAAGAAAUUCAAACGUAGUUUUUGCAUGAUAAGAUGAUUCCAAAACAAAAGGUUGUCAACUAUAAAGUUUCAUAACUUUUUGAGAUCUACAAAGUUUAUUUAGAGAUCUUUUCCAUCCGAGGUUGUUUAAAAAUUCAAAAUUUAAAAUUUUCAAUUAAAAACGCGGUUUUGCAUGACAAGAUGAACUCAAAUGAAAAAGUUGUCAAAUACAAAAUUUCAUAACUUCUCA